GACGAACCGUGCGAACGUUGUUCGGAAUCACUGGGCUUAAAGGGCGCGUAGGCGGGCUAUCAAGUCUGGGGUGAAAUCCCGCGGCUCAACCGCGGAACUGCCUCAGAUACUGACGGCCUCGAGGGGGAUAGGGGCAUGCGGAACUGUAGGUGGAGCGGUGAAAUGCGUUGAUAUCUACAGGAACUCCGGUGGCGAAAGCGGCGUGCUGGAUCCCUUCUGACGCUGAGGCUCGAAAGCCAGGGGAGCAAACGGG
This 253-nucleotide ribosomal RNA is filed under the name uncultured bacterium. Its description in RNAcentral is "partial 16S ribosomal RNA". It matches the Rfam family "Bacterial small subunit ribosomal RNA", at positions 524 to 776 of the family's 1533-position model. The record is from RNAcentral.